GUAGGUCACUGUGACACUGUAAUUCACGAUUAAAGAUUAUAUUAAAUUAAAUUGUUUCUUAAAUCGUGCUGUAAAAUGUAAAUUGUAAUCCAAACGUUAAAGACAACAUUUUAUUUUAUUAUCAAUAAUAUUAGAAACAUUCAUAGUAAUAGCACAGAAUAUAUGAAAUUUCAUAUAUUCUGUGGUAAUAGUAAGUUCAUACCGCGGGCAACGACACGGUUAUCAAUUAUCAGCCUCUGUUGUUGUUGUUGUUGUUACUUUAUGGUUGUUUUCGGGGAUUAUAAUAAAUAUAAUAAUAAUCAUAAUCAUUUGUAUUUUAACUUGUAAUCAGUAACUAUGUGCGAAACGAAAACAAUUUAAAAUAAUACUUAUAAAACCAAUUUUGUGUAUGAAAUUUUUAUUUUUCAUCGAAACCGAAGUACAAAGAAAAAAAAUUGCUCAUGAUUUUGACUAUAAGUAGUUUGUUGAUGAUGUUUGCUAAUCUCAUGCAACAAACAAAAAAAAUUAUUCAAGAAAAGUAUUUAAAAAACGACAGUGGAAAUACGACGGUAAACCCGAUUGCAAUUGAGGCUACUGACGAACAACUCGACGAAAAAACACAUGAAUUGAAGGACCAAAUCUAUGAUAUUAUUAGAACAAUUAAGGAUCCGGAGAAACCAGCUACGCUGGAAGACCUUAGUGUCGUGUAUGAAAAUGGAGUAGAGGUAAUUAAUCAAAGAAACUUGAAACUAUAUACUGUCCGAAUUGAAUUUAAUCCUACAGUACCACAUUGCAGUUUAGCUACUUUAAUUGGCCUUAGCAUAAGGAUUAAAGUUAUAAGAUCUAUUUUGGAGAAUGUUAAAUUGGAUAUAUACAUUAAAGAAGGUGCUCACACAACUGAAGAAGAAAUUAACAAACAAAUAAACGAUAAAGAACGUGUUGCAGCUGCAAUGGAAAAUCCAAGUUUAAGAGAUGUAGUGGAAAAAUGUAUAAAAGAGGAAGAAUAAAAUGCCAGAUAUAAAAGCCGGAAUUCUAUUUCUACUGUCCAAAGGCAUUAUUGAAAUGACAAAUGCAUGUGAAAAUGGCCACGAAAUGUUUAUAAAAGGGUCGAGAUGGCAAUGUCAACGAAGGGAUUGUUGUAAAGAGAAGGUGACGUAUUGCAAACGU
This is an RNA transcript of Metopolophium dirhodum (rose-grain aphid), 1146 nucleotides long. It is a transcript of the gene named MIP18 family protein galla-1, with no coding region annotated. The transcript is spliced from 6 exons. Lineage: Eukaryota; Metazoa; Arthropoda; Insecta; Hemiptera; Aphididae. The record is from RefSeq and is a predicted model, not a curated record.